UCGCGUUCCUUUAAAUUUUGG
Molecule: small nuclear RNA, 21 nt
Filed under: Arabidopsis thaliana (thale cress)
Lineage: Eukaryota; Viridiplantae; Streptophyta; Magnoliopsida; Brassicales; Brassicaceae
Description: snRNA_18281
Source: RNAcentral